UGUAUGUAGGUGAACAGACGCAUGACCAAGCUUAAAGGCAUCUGCCUGGAAUAUGUUUUUGUUAGCCAACCUAUGUGCCUCCCGUGGAGGUUCCGGAUAUGUCAAGUGACUAUGGCUACGUGAUUUAAAGUUUAAGUUUUGUUUUCCUGAUUGGUUAGACAAGUCUUGAGUAUUUUGUAAAUAGGGGUAAGUCCCUCUUUGUCUAAUCUGUGUAUAUAUGUAUAUAAAGUUUAAAAAAUUCUCUGUCUCAUAUAAGUCUACAUAACUCAAUGGAAGUUGUUUAAUUGUUAUUUGCUUCCGCAGCCCCCAAUUAUAUGUUAUUCUGUUAAGAGGCCUUUGGUAAUCCAAGGAUUACUGGCCAGUUACGAGGCUAAACCUAUAGGGGCAGGUUUGGGUCGUAACAGCCUGAGCCUGACUUGCCCUUUUGAGGGUGACGCCAUUCGACCCGGCUACCUACCACCCAUAUACACACGGGAUGGCCCCUAGUGGUAUGUUGAGAUUUGACGAUUUUGAUCGGGACGCGCCAGAGGACCUCCUCCUGCGAGAGCGCACAUCGCAUCUUUCCCAUGAUGCUUCUGAGGGUGACGCUUACGCCUAGGGAGGUUACAACGAUAUGACAGUGAGGCAUUGGUAUCAAGAGCUCCCCGUUAGAGUCCGAGAGAUGGUCAAUGAGGCAGACUUUGGCCUAUUUUGCUCCAGGCUCUCACGGUUACAAGUGAGCCGGCCUCUGCUUGGCGCCUUGGUGGAGAGGUGAUGGGACACGACCAACUCCUUCCACUUCUCCUCCACAGGGGAGAUGAUGAUGAUGCCCUACGAUUUCUUGAUGAUCACAGGGCUAUAAGUAAGGGGUGAUCCAAUCCCCUUUGAUCUGGACGUGGGGUAGUGGCCUGGGUUUAUCUUCUUGGAGCACGCCCUCCGUUGGACAAGCCCUCAAUGGUGAGAUAUAGUUGGCUUUAUGACCACUUCCACGGGAGUCAACCAGAGACUUAGGAGAAGGCAAAAUAGUAUGCCCGUGGGUUUUUGAUCUACCUUCUCAGCACCACCUUGUUUGCGAAUAGGUGAAACACUGUGGGUUUAUAUCUUCUGAACGCCCUGGUGGGAUUGCCUCAGGUUCGCUUCUACAACUGGGGUGGUACUGGCCUUGCCACCCUGUAUGGCUACAUGAGCUCCGGUUUUUGCAAGAAGGGAACAUGGUUGGUGGUUACUGGAGAGCCCGAGAGCUUUGGGUCUAUGCCUACUUGCCCACUCUCGCCCCAACUCUGAGAGAUGAGGUGGCGGUAGCCAUGCCUCACUUGAGAUUGUACAAUGAUAGGUGUUACCCUCGUCACCACAGCAUUACCACUUUUGCCUACCAUCGUUGCUUUUUCGACACAAUGAUGGCCCACAAGGUUACCUAGCAGCUGUGGAUGAUCAUGCCCAUAAAGGCGAGGGAUGAGUACGCCGGUCCUAGGGAUACUGUAGACGUCCCCGAACGCCCCGGGAGAAACGAGCUCCCGUUCUGUUCAUUUUGGGGUCACUACAGCUCAAGACUCUCCAAAUUU
Camellia sinensis is the source of this 1541-nucleotide non-coding RNA. The record is from RefSeq and is a predicted model, not a curated record. Lineage: Eukaryota; Viridiplantae; Streptophyta; Magnoliopsida; Ericales; Theaceae.